UACGGAGGGGGCAAGCGUUGUUCGGAAUUACUGGGCGUAAAGGGCGCGCAGGCGGCUGCUCAAGUCAGGCGUGAAAGGCCUGGGCUCAACCCGGGAAUUGCGCUUGAGACUGGGCUGGCUUGAGUGCGGGAGAGGAUGGUGGAAUUCCCAGUGUAGAGGUGAAAUUCGUAGAUAUUGGGAAGAACACCGGUGGCGAAGGCGGCCAUCUGGACCGCAACUGACGCUGAGGCGCGACAGCGUGGGGAGCAAACAGG
This 254-nucleotide ribosomal RNA is filed under the name uncultured bacterium. RNAcentral describes it as "partial 16S ribosomal RNA". It matches the Rfam family "Bacterial small subunit ribosomal RNA", at positions 524 to 776 of the family's 1533-position model. The record is from RNAcentral.